UACAGAGGGUGCAAGCGUUAAUCGGAAUUACUGGGCGUAAAGCGCGCGUAGGUGGUUCGUUAAGUUGGAUGUGAAAUCCCCGGGCUCAACCUGGGAACUGCAUUCAAAACUGACGAGCUAGAGUAUGGUAGAGGGUGGUGGAAUUUCCUGUGUAGCGGUGAAAUGCGUAGAUAUAGGAAGGAACACCAGUGGCGAAGGCGACCACCUGGACUGAUACUGACACUGAGGUGCGAAAGCGUGGGGAGCGAAACAGG
RNAcentral lists this ribosomal RNA (254 nucleotides) under uncultured bacterium. RNAcentral describes it as "partial 16S ribosomal RNA". It matches the Rfam family "Bacterial small subunit ribosomal RNA", at positions 524 to 776 of the family's 1533-position model. The record is from RNAcentral.